RNAcentral lists this ribosomal RNA (331 nucleotides) under uncultured Bacillota bacterium. RNAcentral describes it as "bacterial SSU rRNA". It matches the Rfam family "Bacterial small subunit ribosomal RNA", at positions 28 to 351 of the family's 1533-position model. The record is from RNAcentral. Lineage: Bacteria; Bacillati; Bacillota.
GACGAACGCUGGCGGCGUGCUUAAGACAUGCAAGUCGAACGGAUUGAUUGAUGAGCUUGCUCAUCAUGAUUUCAGUGGCGAACGGGUGAGUAACACGUGGAUAACCUACCCCGCAAACCGGGAUAACACUCCGAAAGGAGUGCUAAUACCGGGUAGUACUUUUCUCCGCAUGGAGGGGAGCGAAAAGGAGCAAUCCGAUGUGGGAUGGGUCCGCGCCCUAUUAGCUAGUUGGUGAGGUAACGGCUCACCAAGGCGACGAUGGGUAGCCGGCCUGAGAGGGUGAACGGCCACACUGGGACUGAGAUACGGCCCAGACUCCUACGGGAGGCAG